GACGAACGCUGGCGGCGUGCCUAAUACAUGCAAGUUGAGCGCUGAAGGUUGGUACUUGUACCAACUGGAUGAGCAGCAAACGGGUGAGUAACGCGUGGGGAAUCUGCCUUUGAGCGGGGGACAACAUUUGGAAACGAAUGCUAAUACCGCAUAAAAACUUUAAACACAAGUUUUAAGUUUGAAAGAUGCAAUUGCAUUACUCAAAGAUGAUCCCGCGUUGUAUUAGCUAGUUGGUGAGGUAAAGGCUCACCAAGGCGAUGAUACAUAGCCGACCUGAGAGGGUGAUCGGCCACAUUGGGACUGAGACACGGCCCAAACGCCUACGGGAGGCAGCAGUAGGGAAUCUUCGGCAAUGGACGAAAGUCUGACCGAGCAACGCCGCGUGAGCGAAGAAGGUUUUCGGAUCGUAAAACUCUGUUGGUAGAGAAGAACGUUGGUGAGAGUGGAAAGCUCAUCAAGUGACGGUAACUACCCAGAAAGGGACGGCUAACUACGUG
Molecule: ribosomal RNA, 497 nt
Filed under: uncultured bacterium
Lineage: Bacteria
Description: partial 16S ribosomal RNA
Rfam family: Bacterial small subunit ribosomal RNA
Source: RNAcentral